Molecule: non-coding RNA, 29 nt
Filed under: Mus musculus (house mouse)
Lineage: Eukaryota; Metazoa; Chordata; Mammalia; Rodentia; Muridae
Source: RNAcentral
UGAUAAAGGCUGUGUUGCACACGGUGGAU